This 273-nucleotide ribosomal RNA is filed under the name uncultured Lachnospiraceae bacterium. RNAcentral's name for it is "partial 16S ribosomal RNA". It matches the Rfam family "Bacterial small subunit ribosomal RNA", at positions 72 to 339 of the family's 1533-position model. Lineage: Bacteria; Bacillati; Bacillota; Clostridia; Lachnospirales; Lachnospiraceae. The record is from RNAcentral.
AAUCUUCGGAGGAAGAGGACAGUGACUGAGCGGCGGACGGGUGAGUAACGCGUGGGCAACCUGCCUCAUACAGGGGGAUAACAGUUAGAAAUGACUGCUAAUACCGCAUAAGCGCACAGGACCGCAUGGUGUAGUGUGAAAAACUCCGGUGGUAUGAGAUGGACCCGCGUCUGAUUAGGUAGUUGGUGGGGUAAAGGCCUACCAAGCCGACGAUCAGUAGCCGACCUGAGAGGGUGACCGGCCACAUUGGGACUGAGACACGGCCCAAACUCC